Molecule: long non-coding RNA, 845 nt
Filed under: Bemisia tabaci
Lineage: Eukaryota; Metazoa; Arthropoda; Insecta; Hemiptera; Aleyrodidae
Description: lncRNA ENSSSA1NGG011400
Source: RNAcentral
ACACGGUAGAUCGCAGUGCGGUGUCUUUAAAAUAUGUGAUCUAUGGGGGAACCUAAGUACAUGGGCGAACCCAGACACUCCGAACGGGGGAGGAGGAGUGAUAUCGGGAUCCGAGGGGCUUCCCUCAAAAAAUUUUCGAAAUUUUAAAAAAACGUAUGCAGUUUGAGUAAAUUUUGUCGUAUAUUAUAUACCAAUUUUAAGCGUCCUUCAUUUCUUGCCUUAAAAUGAGCGUAUAAUAAUAUCACACUUCCUUCUUUCUUUCCUCCCUUUUCCCCUUCUUUUUGGGGGCAAAUGGGGAGGGGGGCUUCGCCGCCUACGUCUCUCUGCAGAAACAGCAACAUCUUCUGUAAUUUGUGUUUAAAAAAACCUCUUAAUAUUAAAAAUAAUGAAAAAAUAAUAUAGUGCGGUCAACUUUUCACAAAUAUACAUUUAUUUGACUUAAGUGUACUUCCUUCGUGUAUAAAAAUGUUUAUUUGAACCAAGUCUUAUUUUCCUGUGAAGGUAAAACGUUAAACCCUUCUCAUUUUCUGUUCACAGAGAUCCAAAUCCCAACUACACCAUCAACUACGAGAAGACCAACUCCAACGACACCAACCACUGUUACCGAGAGAAUAACAACCCCUCGGCGAUUCGUCACGAGACCCUAUCGUGUACCCUCCACUUCACCUGCUGCUUUAGAGAAGAAGAUGAAGGAAUCCUCUUACGAGUCUAGUCAAAACUCAAUCAGCAACCAAAAAGGGAACAUGAACCUAAAAAUGAAGGCCACGAGCUCUUGCGCAAGCCUUUUUCAGUUCAGUUCUUUAUUAGUCCUAAUUACUCCCGUCCUUCGUUUUUGGUCCAGUUGA